This 387-nucleotide ribosomal RNA is filed under the name uncultured bacterium. RNAcentral describes it as "bacterial SSU rRNA". It matches the Rfam family "Bacterial small subunit ribosomal RNA", at positions 364 to 756 of the family's 1533-position model. The record is from RNAcentral.
UUGGCGCAUGGCGAAGUCUGAGCAGCGACGCCGCGUGGGGGAUGAAGGUCUUCGGAUUGUAAACCCCUUUCGGCAGGGAAGAUGGAACGGGUAACCGUUCGGACGGUACCUGCAGAAGCAGCCACGGCUAACUUCGUGCCAGCAGCCGCGGUAAUACGAAGGUGGCAAGCGUUGUUCGGAUUCACUGGGCGUACAGGGAGCGUAGGCGGUUGGGUAAGCCCUCCGUGAAAUCUCCGGGCCUAACCCGGAAAGUGCAGAGGGGACUGCUCGGCUAGAGGAUGGGAGAGGAGCGCGGAAUUCCCGGUGUAGCGGUGAAAUGCGUAGAGAUCGGGAGGAAGGCCGGUGGCGAAGGCGGCGCUCUGGAACAUUUCUGACGCUGAGGCUCGA